This 773-nucleotide ribosomal RNA is filed under the name Rhigonematoidea sp. 1 KH-2020. Its description in RNAcentral is "partial large subunit ribosomal RNA". It matches the Rfam family "Eukaryotic large subunit ribosomal RNA", at positions 359 to 949 of the family's 3401-position model. Lineage: Eukaryota; Metazoa; Nematoda; Chromadorea; Rhabditida. The record is from RNAcentral.
GAAGUUGCAAAGAACUUUGAAGAGAGAGUUCAAGAGGGCGUGAAACCGCUGAGAUGGAAACGGAUAGAGUUAACGGAACUUGGCGACAUUCAACCGGUUACCUCAGCGGCCUUGCGGCUUUGUGCCUCGACGAGGGCAAAGACGUGAAAAGCUGCAGAGUUCUUGACUGGUGUAUUUGCCGUCGGUAUGCGCCGAGAAACUCGCCGUCAUGCGUUAGCACAUGUGUAGUGGACCACUCCCUUCGGGUGUGGAACCCUGCGCAUGCCGAGGCGUAUUGAUGGUGAAGGGAUAGGCGUUGACGUCUCCGCCGUAGCGCGACGACCGCUGCUGAUUGGCGUGGCCUUUGGGCGGUCGCAUGCGACUUGCCUAUGGUUUUCGUUGGUCGGUAGUGGUGCGGUUGCGUUGAGACGCGCAAAUCUCGGUGUGAAAGUUGACCACCUAUCCGACCCGUCUUGAAACACGGACCAAGGAGUCUAGCAUAUGCGCGAGUCAUUGGGUGGAAAACCUAAAGGCACAAUGAAAGUAAAGGUCGUCUUGAUGCGGCUGAUAUGGGAUCCACACGGUUUCGGCCGUGCGGCGCACCAUAGCCCCGUCCCCGUUGCUUGCAAUAGGGCGGAGGUAGAGCGCAUACGCUGGGACCCGAAAGAUGGUGAACUAUGCCUGAGCAGGAUGAAGCCAGAGGAAACUCUGGUGGAGGUCCGAAGCGGUUCUGACGUGCAAAUCGAUCGUCUGACUUGGGUAUAGGGGCGAAAGACUAAUCGAACCAUCUAUAC